AGAGUUUGAUCCUGGCUCAGAACGAACGCUGGCGGCGUGGAUAAGACAUGCAAGUCGAGCGCUGAUUACAGGGUAGCAAUAUUCUGUGGUCGGAGCGGCGCAAGGGUGCGUAACACGUGGGUAAUCUGCCAUGAAGUUUGGAAUAGCUUGCUGAAAGGCGAGCUAAUACCGAAUGUGAAAAUCGGAUGGCAUCAUUUGAUUUUUAAAGUUGGGGACCGUAAGGCCUGACGCUUCUCGAUAAGCCCGCGGCCUAUCAGCUAGUUGGUGAGGUAACGGCUCACCAAGGCUAAGACGGGUAGCUGGUCUGAGAGGACGACCAGUCACACUGGAACUGAGACACGGUCCAGACACCUACGGGUGGCAGCAGUCGAGAAUUUUUCUCAAUGGGCGAAAGCCUGAAGGAGCGACGCCGCGUGGGGGAUGAAGGGCUUCGGCUCGUAAACCCCUGUCAUUUGCGAACAAACCUUACGAUUGAACAGAUCGUGAGCUGAUUGUAGCGAAAGAGGAAGGGACGGCUAACUCUGUGCCAGCAGCCGCGGUAAUACAGAGGUCCCAAGCGUUGUUCGGAUUCACUGGGCGUAAAGGGUGCGUAGGUGGCAAGGUAAGUUUGAUGUGAAAUCUCCGGGCUUAACCCGGAAACUGCAUUGAAUACUAUCUCGCUCGAGAGUUGGAGGGGAGACUGGAAUACUUGGUGUAGCAGUGAAAUGCGUAGAUAUCAAGUGGAACACCAGUGGCGAAGGCGAGUCUCUGGACAACUUCUGACACUGAGGCACGAAAGCUAGGGGAGCAAACAGGAUUAGAUACCCUAGUAGUCC
RNAcentral lists this ribosomal RNA (815 nucleotides) under uncultured bacterium. RNAcentral describes it as "bacterial SSU rRNA". It matches the Rfam family "Bacterial small subunit ribosomal RNA", at positions 8 to 796 of the family's 1533-position model. The record is from RNAcentral.